CUCCUUUGACGUUAGCGGCGGACGGGUGAGUAACACGUGGGUAACCUACCUAUAAGACUGGGAUAACUUCGGGAAACCGGAGCUAAUACCGGAUAAUAUUUCGAACCGCAUGGUUCGAUAGUGAAAGAUGGUUUUGCUAUAACUUAUAGAUGGACCCGCGCCGUAUUAGCUAGUUGGUAAGGUAACGGCUUACCAAGGCGACGAUACGUAGCCGACCUGAGAGGGUGAUCGGCCACACUGGAACUGAGACACGGUCCAGACUCCUACGGGAGGCAGCAGCG
Molecule: ribosomal RNA, 281 nt
Filed under: uncultured Staphylococcus sp.
Lineage: Bacteria; Bacillati; Bacillota; Bacilli; Caryophanales; Staphylococcaceae
Description: partial 16S ribosomal RNA
Rfam family: Bacterial small subunit ribosomal RNA
Source: RNAcentral